This is a long non-coding RNA of Bombina bombina (fire-bellied toad), 271 nucleotides long. RefSeq lists it as uncharacterized. The transcript has 3 exons. The record is from RefSeq and is a predicted model, not a curated record. Lineage: Eukaryota; Metazoa; Chordata; Amphibia; Anura; Bombinatoridae.
AGCAAUUAAAUAUAGGAUGAAAGAAUCUCAGUUUCUUAUAGCCAUUGUCAUAGUCUUAUUUAUUGCGUGUGCCGCUGCUCAGUCCUCAAGAGAGGAAGAAUGGAAGUCACUGGGAAACCCAUACAACAGAGAUCUGUUUUUCAAGUUCUUGAAAUCAUACAUUACUGGGAGGGGAAUACACAUGAUGAAUCCUGGUACAAAGGAAAAACUUGUGAAUGAUCUACGAAGCAGCGCAGACUCCAAAUACGGAAGCUUUCAACAAAUGAUGGAC